CUUAGACAAAAUAUUCUGACAUUACCCUGACUCAUGCUCACGCAUGGUCUGAGACCGUGAGAACAGUCCAAUCAAUUGCUGAAAAGCAUUUGAUUGGACCUCGCUGAGGGAUGAAUUGGUGUCAGACAGGGCAUGGAAGGCAGCAAGUGUAGCUUUGCCUGGUGCUGGUUUCCAGGUAAGCUUUAAGCUUUUUAUUUUUCAGACCUAUAAUGGGGGUGAGGGGUAACCUAUUUUGGCCCUGAUGGUUCUUAUACCUUAUCUGUGACAAGCUACUAGUCUUUAUUUUGCUUAGCACUCUUAGUUCCCUGACAAAUUUAGAGGACAACUCAUGUCCUGGUUUGGCAGUCUUUCUUGACCAUCUCCAGUGAUAUUUAACUCUACACAUUUCCUACACUAAAUACAAUAAAUAAAUAAAAGGUUUAAAAGUAGGUGCUACUAUCACUUUGUGUAGGUCAGCCAAUCACACACAAAAGACAGUAACUAAAAUAGGUUAAAGAUAGUAGUGAGAGUACACUGAUAAGUAUAGGUAUAAAAAUACACAUAUAAUAACUAUAUAAAAUUGCAGUGAAAAAAGAGUGUAAGUAAAAAAACACACACAUGCAAUUUUUACCAUAAACUUUAUAUACAACCUAAAAUAUAACCAGAAAAUAGACCAUAGUGUAAUCUGUAUAAAUGUUAUAAAAAACAAGUAAACACAAAUUGUUCCCAUCAGGUAGGUAGGAUUCCCACAGGAUACUGGAUACUGUAUUUCACAUACUUGAUUUGUAAAAACAAAAAAAAGGGUAACAGAAAAGUAACCAGGAUAAAUGUAUUGAAUUAAAUGUAUAAAACUCAAAAGAUUUUACUGCACAGCAGCAC
Non-coding RNA from Pelobates cultripes (western spadefoot toad), 858 nucleotides. NCBI's taxonomy places the organism in Eukaryota, Metazoa, Chordata, Amphibia, Anura, Pelobatidae. The record is from the annotation of a GenBank genome assembly.